RNAcentral lists this ribosomal RNA (195 nucleotides) under uncultured bacterium. RNAcentral describes it as "partial 16S ribosomal RNA". It matches the Rfam family "Bacterial small subunit ribosomal RNA", at positions 1308 to 1500 of the family's 1533-position model. The record is from RNAcentral.
CAACUCGACUACAUGAAGCUGGAAUCGCUAGUAAUCGCGAAUCAGCAUGUCGCGGUGAAUACGUUCCCGGGCCUUGUACACACCGCCCGUCACACCAUGGGAGUUGGAAGUGCCCGAAGCCUGUGACCCAACCUGCAAGGGAGGGAGCAGUCGAAGGAGAAGCCAGCGACUGGGGUGAAGUCGUAACAAGGUACC